GGGUGCGAUCAUACUAGCACUGAUGCACCGGAUCCCAUCAGAACUUUGCAGUUAAGUGUGCUUGGGCAAGAGUAGUACUGGGAUGGGUGUCCUCCUGGGAAGUCCUCGUGUUGCAACCC
This 119-nucleotide ribosomal RNA is filed under the name Cephalotus follicularis. The record is from RNAcentral. Lineage: Eukaryota; Viridiplantae; Streptophyta; Magnoliopsida; Oxalidales; Cephalotaceae.